GCCUGGCCGGCGACAAGGAGACGCGGGCCGGACCCCUGCCGCCGCCCGCGCCGCCGCUGCCGCCCCCGGGCGCGCUGGACGCCCUGUCGCUCAGCAGCAGCCUGGACAGCGGACUCCGAACCCCUCAGUGCCGGAUCUGCUUCCAGGGCCCGGAGCAGGGGGAGCUCUUGAGCCCCUGCCGCUGCGACGGCUCAGUGCGCUGCACGCAUCAGCCCUGCCUCAUCCGCUGGAUCAGCGAGAGGGGCUCCUGGAGCUGUGAGCUCUGCUACUUCAAGUACCAGGUCCUGGCGAUUAGCACCAAGAACCCACUGCAGGUGAGGUGCAAGGAGAGGACUCGGAGAUUGGGCGAGGACCUUUUAGCUAUUGGAAUCAGGGACCCUCCAGGAGGCCUAUUUCAUUUAUUAUUUUCCCAAAGCCACCCUUCCCCGCCAAUUACCACAGUCUCCUGUGUGUCUGUAUAUCCUUCCUAAGCCCUUAAUUUAUUCACAGAGAUAUUUAUUGGGUGCCACUUAUAUUCCAGGCACUCUUCUAGGCACUGGGACAAUCACCACUCCUCACCCGCCACAAAAAAAAAAAAAAAAAAGAAAAGAAAAAAAAAUGCUGGGCGCGGUGGCUCACGCCUGUAAUCCCAGCACUUUGGGAGGCCGAGGCGGGCGGAUCACAAGGUCAAGAGUUUGAGACCAGCCUGGCCAACAUGGUGAAACCCCGUCUCUACUAAGAAUACAAAAAUUAGCCGGGCGUGGUGGCACGUGCCUGUAAGCUACUCGCGAGGCUGAGGCAGGAGAAUCCUUGAACCCGGGAGGCAGAGGUUGCAGUGAGCCGAGAUC
This 827-nucleotide small RNA is filed under the name Pongo abelii (Sumatran orangutan). RNAcentral's name for it is "retained intron". Lineage: Eukaryota; Metazoa; Chordata; Mammalia; Primates; Hominidae. The record is from RNAcentral.